UCGGCUAGGGGGCCAUCCCGGCUUACCAACCCGAUGCAAACUACGAAUACCGAAGAAUGUUAUCACGGGAGACACACGGCGGGUGCUAACGUCCGUCGUGAAGAGGGAAACAACCCAGACCGCCAGCUAAGGUCCCAAAGUCAUGGUUAAGUGGGAAACGAUGUGGGAAGGCACAGACAGCCAGGAUGUUGGCUUAGAAGCAGCCAUCAUUUAAAGAAAGCGUAAUAGCUCACUGGUCGAGUCGGCCUGCGCGGAAGAUGUAACGGGGCUAAACCAUGCACCGAAGCUGCGGCAGCGACRCUAUGYGUUGUUGGGUAGGGGAGCGUUCUGUAAGCCGUUGAAGGUGUCCUGUGAGGGGUGCUGGAGGUAUCAGAAGUGCGAAUGCUGACAUAAGUAACGAUAAAGCGGGUGAAAAGCCCGCUCGCCGGAAGACCAAGGGUUCCUGUCCAACGUUAAUCGGGGCAGGGUGAGUCGACCCCUAAGGCGAGGCCGAAAGGCGUAGUCGAUGGGAAACAGGUUAAUAUUCCUGUACUUGGUGUUACUGCGAAGGGGGGACGGAGAAGGCUAUGUCAGCCGGGCGACGGUUGUCCCGGUUUAAGCAUGUAGGCGGAGGUUCCAGGUAAAUCCGGUACCUUGUUAACGCUGAGGUGUGAUGACGAGGCACUACGGUGCUGAAGUGAUAAAUGCCCUGCUUCCAGGAAAAGCCUCUAAGCAUCAGGUAACACGAAAUCGUACCCCAAACCGACACAGGUGGUCAGG
RNAcentral lists this ribosomal RNA (759 nucleotides) under Enterobacter hormaechei. RNAcentral's name for it is "partial 23S ribosomal RNA". Lineage: Bacteria; Pseudomonadati; Pseudomonadota; Gammaproteobacteria; Enterobacterales; Enterobacteriaceae. The record is from RNAcentral.